CUCCAUCAUCACCUCCACCAUCACCUCCAACCCCUCCACCAUCACCUCCACCAUCACCUCCAACCCCUCCACCAUCACAUCCACCAUCACCUCCAUCACCUCCAACACCUCCUCCACCAUCACAUCCAACACCUCCUCCAACAUCACCUCCAACACCUCCUCCACCAUCACCUCCACCAUCACCUCCAACACCUCCUCCAACAUCACCUCCACCAUCACCUCCACCAUCACCUCCAACACCUCCUCCACCAUCACCUCCAUCACCUCCAACACCUCCUCCACACAUCACCUCCAACACCUCCUCCAACAUCACCUCCAACACCUCCUCCACCAUCACAUCCACCAUCACCUCCAUCACAUCCAACACCUCCUCCACCAUCACAUCCAACACCUCCUCCACCAUCACCUCCACCAUCAACUCCAACACCUCCUCCACCAUCACCUCCACCAUCACCUCCAUCACCUCCAACACCUCCUCCACCAUCACAUCCAACACCUCCUCCAACACCUCCACCAUCACCUCCAACAUCUCCUCCACCAUCACCUCCACCAUCACCCCCAACACCCCCUCCAACACCUCCUCCACCAUCACCUCCAUCACCUCCAACACCUCCACCAUCACCUCCAACACCUCCUCCACCAUCACCUCCACCAUUACCUCCUCAACCAUCACCUCCUCCACCAUCAUCUCCACCAUCACCUCCACCAUCACCCCCAACACCCCCUCCAACACCUCCUCCACCAUCACAUACAACACCUCCUCCAACACCUCCAACACCUCCUCCACCAUCACCUCCACCAUUACCCUCCUCAACCAUCACCUCCACCAUCAUCUCCACCAUCUCCUCCACCAUCACCUCCACCAUCACCUCCAACACCCCCUCCACCAUCACCUCCACCAUCACCUCCUCCACCAUCACCUCCAACACCUUCUCCACCAUCACCUCCACCAUCACCCCAACACCUCCUCCAACAUCACCUCCAUCACCUCCAACACCUUCUCCACCCUCACAUCCAACACCUCCUCCAACACCUCCGCCAAUACCUCCUCCACCAUCACCUCCAACACCUCCUCCAACACCUCCUCCAACAGCUCCUCCACCAUCUACUCCAGCAUCACCUCCACCAUCAUCUCCAACACCUCCUCCAACAGCACCUCCACCAUCUACUCUACCAUCACCUCCACCAUCACCUCCAACAUCACUUCCAAAAAGAUGAG
RNAcentral lists this long non-coding RNA (1219 nucleotides) under Oncorhynchus kisutch (coho salmon). RNAcentral's name for it is "lncRNA (ENSOKIG00005016299.1)". Lineage: Eukaryota; Metazoa; Chordata; Actinopteri; Salmoniformes; Salmonidae. The record is from RNAcentral.